Molecule: ribosomal RNA, 254 nt
Filed under: uncultured bacterium
Lineage: Bacteria
Description: partial 16S ribosomal RNA
Rfam family: Bacterial small subunit ribosomal RNA
Source: RNAcentral
UACGUAGGGUGCGAGCGUUGUCCGGAAUUAUUGGGCGUAAAGAGCUCGUAGGCGGUCUGUCGCGUCGAUCGUGAAAACUUGGGGCUUAACCCUGAGCUUGCGGUCGAUACGGGCAUGACUGGAGUUCGGCAGGGGAGACUGGAAUUCCUGGUGUAGCGGUGAAAUGCGCAGAUAUCAGGAGGAACACCGAUGGCGAAGGCAGGUCUCUGGGCCGAUACUGACGCUGAGGAGCGAAAGCGUGGGGAGCAAACAGG